CAGCCUGAUCCAGCCAUGCCGCGUGUGUGAAGAAGGCCUUCGGGUUGUAAAGCACUUUUGUCCGGAAAGAAAAGCAUCGGGUUAAUAACCCGGUGUUAUGACGGUACCGGAAGAAUAAGCACCGGCUAACUUCGUGCCAGCAGCCGCGGUAAUACGAAGGGUGCAAGCGUUACUCGGAAUUACUGGGCGUAAAGCGUGCGUAGGUGGUUUGUUAAGUCUGAUGUGAAAGCCCUGGGCUCAACCUGGGAACUGCAUUGGAAACUGGCUGACUAGAGUGCGGUAGAGGGGUGUGGAAUUCCCGGUGUAGCAGUGAAAUGCGUAGAUAUCGGGAGGAACAUCUGUGGCGAAGGCGACACCCUGGACCAGCACUGACACUGAGGCACGAAAGCGUGGGGAGCAAACAGGAUUAGAUACCCUGGUAGUCCACGCCCUAAACGAUGCGAACUGGAUGUUGGGGGCAACUUGGCCCUCAGUAUCGAAGCUAACGCGUUAAGUUCGCCGCCUGGGAAGUACGGUCGCAAGACUGAAACUCAAAGGAAUUGACGGGGGCCCGCACAAGCGGUGGAGUAUGUGGUUUAAUUCGAUGCAACGCGAAGAACCUUACCUGGCCUUGACAUGCACGGAACUUUCCAGA
RNAcentral lists this ribosomal RNA (634 nucleotides) under Lysobacter sp. Se3Pt_1622. RNAcentral's name for it is "bacterial SSU rRNA". It matches the Rfam family "Bacterial small subunit ribosomal RNA", at positions 379 to 1004 of the family's 1533-position model. Lineage: Bacteria; Pseudomonadati; Pseudomonadota; Gammaproteobacteria; Lysobacterales; Lysobacteraceae. The record is from RNAcentral.